Molecule: ribosomal RNA, 510 nt
Filed under: uncultured bacterium
Lineage: Bacteria
Description: partial 16S ribosomal RNA
Rfam family: Bacterial small subunit ribosomal RNA
Source: RNAcentral
GACGAACGCUGGCGGCGUGCUUAACACAUGCAAGUCGAACGAAGAGCGAUGGAAGCUUGCUUCUAUCAAUCUUAGUGGCGAACGGGUGAGUAACGCGUAAUCAACCUGCCCUUCAGAGGGGGACAACAGUUGGAAACGACUGCUAAUACCGCAUACGAUCCGACCUCGGCAUCGAGGAUGGAUGAAAGGUGGCCUCUAUUUAUAAGCUAUCACUGAAGGAGGGGAUUGCGUCUGAUUAGCUAGUUGGAGGGGUAACGGCCCACCAAGGCAAUGAUCAGUAGCAGGUCUGAGAGGAUGAACGGCCACAUUGGGACUGAGACACGGCCCAGACUCCUACGGGAGGCAGCAGUGGGGAAUCUUCCGCAAUGGACGAAAGUCUGACGGAGCAACGCCGCGUGAGUGAUGACGGCCUUCGGGUUGUAAAGCUCUGUUAAUCGGGACGCAAGGUCUUCUUGCGAAUAGUUAGAAGAAUUGACGGUACCGGAAUAGAAAGCCACGGCUAACUACGUG